RNAcentral lists this ribosomal RNA (274 nucleotides) under uncultured bacterium. RNAcentral's name for it is "partial 16S ribosomal RNA". It matches the Rfam family "Bacterial small subunit ribosomal RNA", at positions 523 to 796 of the family's 1533-position model. The record is from RNAcentral.
AUACGGGGGGUGCAAACGUUGCUCGGAAUCAUUGGGCGUAAAGCGUACGUAGGCGGACUAUUAAGUCUGAUGUGAAAGCCCGGGGCUCAACCUCGGAAUGCCAUUGGAAACUGGUAGUCUAGAGAAUAGGAGGGGUAAGUGGUAUUUCUGGUGUAGGGGUGAAAUCCGUAGAGAUCAGAAGGAACACCGGUGGCGAAGGCGACUUACUGGACUAUUUCUGACGCUGAUGUACGAAAGCAUGGGGAGCAAACAGGAUUAGAAACCCUAGUAGUCC